UUAUGUUGUCGGACUGAACAUCAAAUUAAAGUCAGUGAAUCCACUGUCAGAGUCAGACAUUGAGAAUGCUUUGGCGGAGCUCUUCAGACGAUACGGUUUGCCACCAGAACUGUUGUCCCUGAAGAUUCGAUCCAUUGAGUCGUGAGACCAAUGAAGACAAGACGAGAUAAAAUGAAGGAAAACUUUGCACAUUCUGAAAUUGCUUUCCUUGAAGAGAACAAAAACACAAAUGAUGUAAAGCUUUGGAAAAUCAUUAUGAAACAUCACCGUGUGCGUUUUAUGUAGCAGUAUCAGGGAUCAUACUUUGUCUUUUUUGUAACUCUACCUAGAUUGGAAAUUGUGAAGUAUUUUUUCAGCAUUAAAAUUGUACUGUAAUAUUAUUGUAUUGUGUUGGUUAAAUUGUUUUGUAUAUUUUUGCCAAUUAGAAAUAAAGUGACAAAUGUGACUCGUU
Long non-coding RNA from Stegastes partitus (bicolor damselfish), 451 nucleotides. RefSeq lists it as uncharacterized. NCBI's taxonomy places the organism in Eukaryota, Metazoa, Chordata, Actinopteri, Pomacentridae. The transcript has 2 exons. The record is from RefSeq and is a predicted model, not a curated record.